This 163-nucleotide non-coding RNA is filed under the name uncultured Tissierella sp. Lineage: Bacteria; Bacillati; Bacillota; Tissierellia; Tissierellales; Tissierellaceae. The record is from RNAcentral.
GAAGGUGCAGAGAAAAAUAUUCUUUGCUUAAAAGGGAAAUAGGUUAAAUGCCUAUACGGUCCCGCCGCUGUAAUGGGGAAGGAUUUAAAACUAAUGUCACUGAAUAAAUCGGGAAGACUUUAAGUCCUUAUGAACCAAAGUCAGAAGACCUGCCUUUACUUAU